Long non-coding RNA from Heterocephalus glaber (naked mole-rat), 1303 nucleotides. The record is from Ensembl. NCBI's taxonomy places the organism in Eukaryota, Metazoa, Chordata, Mammalia, Rodentia, Bathyergidae.
AGAACGUGUAUCUGUAUAUAAAUAAUUUAUCAAAUACUUUUUCUCUUUGUGUCUAUAUGUGUUAGUGUUUUUAAAGCUGCUCAUUUCAUUUUAUCCAAGCAAAAAGAAAAGGGAGAUAAUGAGCUUCUAGUGAUGUUCAAUAUUGCUGUUAAUAGGCAUUAUACCCUGCAAGUUCACUGCAUGUCUGAUGCUUGGUACAAUUAGAUUGUCCUGUUAACUGCAGAUUACAGGUAUUAAAGCAAUCUAUUGGUAUACCCGCCCCUUGCCUUAGUAAGAGGAGCAGUGAAAAUGUAUAUAGUUGAUGUUCAGUAUUUCCAAGUACUACCGUUUUUAUAUAGUAAUUUCUUUGAUCACAAGUCACCCAUAAAAAGAUUACCCUUAGUGUACCUGGGUGUUUUAAUAAUAGAAAAAUUGGCAUAUGUACUUUAUUUUUGAAAAGGAAGAGAUUAGUGUGGGUUGGCAAUAGCAUUAUGCCAUUUUGUCAUAGGUUGUAAAAAAUCGGUUAACUUCACAAAUGUCUGCUAGUUUUGACUAACAGUUGGGGGAAAUUCUAGAUAAUUUUUAAAUUCAAAGUUAUUUAUACAAUGCUAGGACUUGUUUUAAAUUUUUGUAUUUUGAGCCAGUUCACAUGAAGACUCAGUUGCAAUUUUUGUCUAAUACACUUUUAUCAACAUUUAAAAAGUGGUAGUUUUCUCAGAGUUUGGAUAAGAAUGUUGUUACCAUGUCUUUCUUUGUGGUACAAUAUUCUUUUCAGUGCAAAGAAAUGUCUCUCAAUUAAAUAGACAAAAAUACCCUAGAUGUAUAAUUACAUGGAAAACAUUUGCAAUGAAAAUGGUGUAGUACUAAUUAUUUCAUAGAACCACUUAAGUCUAUAACUCAGAAAUGGCCAGGUGGUGAGGAGCCACCUAUGCAGCAUUGUAUCAUCUGUUUAAUUACUUUGUAGGUUCUGAGUGUAGAAUCAGUUUAACUCAGCUUUACAGUUGUGGAGGAGGCAAACUUUCUCAGAAUAGUUCAUAUCAGCUUCAUUGGAUACUUUUAGCAAAUAGCAACUUAAUUCUCAGCUCUGAACAUGAAUUACUUCUUUGGAGUUUUUUUGUAGGAAUUUGAAAUAUUAAUAGGCAUAAAGCAACAUCAUUACACUUAAGCUAUGAAUGUUUUUAUUUUAUAUUUUAUUUAUAACUGUGCCAAGUAUUAUUUUGCUACUUACUGUGUUACUCUGUGGAAAGAAAAACCUGUAAAGUGUUUAAUAAUUAGUUCUCCUUACAUAAAUUAAAUGUCAAAAUUUUGUAAAAUAUUAAUCAGA